RNAcentral lists this ribosomal RNA (290 nucleotides) under uncultured eukaryote. RNAcentral describes it as "partial 18S ribosomal RNA". It matches the Rfam family "Eukaryotic small subunit ribosomal RNA", at positions 1470 to 1796 of the family's 1831-position model. The record is from RNAcentral.
CCCUUAGAUGAUCUGGGCUGCACGCGCGCUACAAUGAUAAAUACAACGAGUAAGCCUUUUAUGAAAAUAGUAGGUAAACAUUAAAAUUUAUCGUGACUGGGAUUGAACUUUGUAACCAGGUUCAUGAACGAGGAAUUCCUAGUAAAUGCAGUUCAUUAAACUGUAUUGAUUAUGUCCCUGCCCUUUGUACACACCGCCCGUCGCUACGAUCGAUGAAUGGUUUAGUAAGAAUAAAGGAGGCAACGAAUCUAUUCAAACUUGAUUAUUUAGAGAAUGUAUAAGUCGUAACA